This 26-nucleotide non-coding RNA is filed under the name Homo sapiens (human). The record is from RNAcentral. Lineage: Eukaryota; Metazoa; Chordata; Mammalia; Primates; Hominidae.
UGCCUAUUGUGAUUGGUGUUAGAUCU